Molecule: transfer RNA, 86 nt
Filed under: Chlamydiota bacterium
Lineage: Bacteria; Pseudomonadati; Chlamydiota
Description: Chlamydiae bacterium tRNA-Leu
Rfam family: tRNA
About the family: Transfer RNA (tRNA) molecules are approximately 80 nucleotides in length. Their secondary structure includes four short double-helical elements and three loops (D, anti-codon, and T loops).
Source: RNAcentral
UGCCGGUGUGGCGGAAUUGGUAGACGCGGCAGAUUCAAAAUCUGUUUUUAGCAAUAGAGUGUUGGUUCGAGUCCAAUCACCGGCAU